This 2037-nucleotide unclassified non-coding RNA is filed under the name Hevea brasiliensis (rubber tree). The record is from RNAcentral. Lineage: Eukaryota; Viridiplantae; Streptophyta; Magnoliopsida; Malpighiales; Euphorbiaceae.
AAAUAUAUAUAAAUAUAAUUUAGUGAAUGUUGAAAUUUUGGAUUUAGAAAAUUAGAGAUUGAUUAAAUUUAUUUAUUUAUAUUAAUAGGCUAAAUUUAAUUCACAUAUAUUUAAUUAAUGUUUUUAUGAUCCACUAAUUGAACUAAUAACACAUCAACCCGGUCAAGGUUCUGGCCAAGUCGGAUAGUUAUGCUUGCAUUAACUUGGUUUGGUUGUUCUUGUUGCGAAUAUUUUCAUCAUUAGGUUAACUAGUUUCCAUAAUGCAAACUUAUCAAUGAUUCAUGUAUUAGUUGAUUAUAAUCUGAUGACAUUUUUUAUUGUAAUAUGACUGGUAUUGUCAAAAGAAAUUGGGUGAAUUACAAUCAGGUCCUUGGAUAUUACCAUUAUUAACAAGUUGGUCCUUGUAUUUUCAAAAACUCAUUAAAACGUUCCUAACUUUUGCCUCUGUUAAUGGAUUGGUCUUUCCAUUCAAUUAUUAUUAUUAUUUUUUUUCAUAUCUGCCUUUACAGAAUCAUGAAAGUACUGAACUAUCCUUGUUAAUUAAUUCUAUUUUCUUUUUUGACUUCUCCCUCAAGCUCAUCUCUUUCUUUCUCUUCUUUGGAACAACAAUAAUUUGUUUCAUAAUUGUGUUAUGGCAAUCAGCAAAAUUGUAGAACUUUCUUUGCAAAACACUGAAACAGGAAAAGGCAAUUGCAGGUAGAAACAGUUGCAUUCCAAAAUGGAUGUUAGGCAUUGGAUUACAUUUUGGUAGUUUAUCUAAAAGAGCAUUCAUGAUAGACAAAUUAAACAUUCAUAACCACAAAAAUAAAAUUUGCAGGACAAUUUAAACCUUUUUUUUUUCUCCAAAUCACAAAUACAGUUGAUAUAUGAACAAACUGAAAGCACAAAAAGCAUAUCUGCAAUGACAUCCAUUUCCCAAAACAACUUCUUCAUUAUCAGUAGUGGAGUUUGGUCUUUGCCCAAGAACAGCAUCAUUAUUGGAAUUCAUCCUUCAAAAAAUGCAUACCACAAAUCCCUUUGUCUCGUUUCCAAUGUUUGACCCUAUCAACUCCUCACCUAUUCUUACCCACUUGAUUGCCGACCCCUCCUUUAAAGCCAAUGGCUCCUUGGCCACUUGAUUGCAGUGUGUGUUUCAUCUUGCCUAUGUGUUCUUCGAGCACUGAAGGCGUAGGGCAAGUGGGGAUUCCACUUCGAGAUUGGGGAGUGAUUAGGUGAACUCAAACAAGCUUUCCAACAAGGGCAGUCAAAUUAGGUGGAAUGGUGUUCAUUCUGCUUUUUAAAUAAUUGCUUCUUGAACUGGGGGAGUUGCAAAAGAGGCUCCAAUUAUUGGUGAUCGCAAGAGAGAUAAAAAUUGUGAGAGUUGGUGAGGGAGGGCAAUUUUGGGUUUUAAAACUUGUCUCUUUCCUUUGACCAAGUUUUUAACUGGAAAAUGGGUUGAAAUGUAUGGAAGGACCAUUGAGUCAACGAAGGUAAAAGUUAGAGACAUUCUAUUGAGUUUCUGAAAAUACAGGGAUCAACUUGUUAAUAAUGGCAACACCCAGGGACCUGGUUGCAAUUCAUCCAAAGAAAUAUGUGGUAUGGUUGGUGUGGAUAGCCAACUAGCUCUUCAUCGUGUCCUUUGUGUAUAUUUUCAGUUUGAAAUUGUCACAAAUGUUCUAUUUUAAUUUGUUCACUUUCAUCAUACUUAAUUUUCAAGAUAUAAUGAUGCAUUUUUUGACAAUGUUUAUGUGAGGUCUUUUCACACAUUGUCCUCUGCUUACUGGCUGCAGGGUUUUAUGAAACUCGGAUGGCAUAUUAUUCAUGGAGGGGUGCUAAAGGAUAUCGCUUUGCUUCUAUUCCAAGUUAUUAAGUGCGCCUUUAAGGAUUGCUCAUAGACCGCCUUGGCUAAUGCUAUCUAUGUAUGUAAUUAUUUAAGUAGAAUUAGGAUUAUAAAGUUGUACUCCAUCACAAAUAAAAUUAGUGGGGAUUGUAUCUAGUGAUAAAGAGUUUGUUUUCUUUGUAGCUUUGUUUUGAAUUCUGAUGGAUUGAUCGACUCAG